Schistosoma curassoni is the source of this 45-nucleotide non-coding RNA. The record is from Rfam. Lineage: Eukaryota; Metazoa; Platyhelminthes; Trematoda; Strigeidida; Schistosomatidae.
AUCCAGAUGACGAGUCCCAAAUAGGGUGAAACGCACAUCCCGGAU